AUUGAACGCUGGCGGCAUGCCUUACACAUGCAAGUCGAACGGCAGCACGGGAGCAAUCCUGGUGGCGAGUGGCGAACGGGUGAGUAAAGUAUCGGAACGUGCCCAGUCGUGGGGGAUAACGUAGCGAAAGUUACGCUAAUACCGCAUACGAUCUAUGGAUGAAAGCGGGGGAUCGCAAGACCUCGCGCGAUUGGAGCGGCCGAUAUCAGAUUAGGUAGUUGGUGGGGUAAAGGCUCACCAAGCCGACGAUCUGUAGCUGGUCUGAGAGGACGACCAGCCACACUGGGACUGAGACACGGCCCAGACUCCUACGGGAGGCAGCAGUGGGGAAUUUUGGACAAUGGGCGAAAGCCUGAUCCAGCCAUGCCGCCUGCAGGAUGAAGGCCUUCGGGUUGUAAACUGCUUUUGUACGGAACGAAAAGGUUUGGGCUAAUAAGCUGAGCUCAUGACGGUACCGUAAGAAUAAGCACCGGCUAACUACGUGCCAGCCGCCGCCGUAA
RNAcentral lists this ribosomal RNA (500 nucleotides) under uncultured bacterium. RNAcentral's name for it is "partial 16S ribosomal RNA". It matches the Rfam family "Bacterial small subunit ribosomal RNA", at positions 30 to 523 of the family's 1533-position model. The record is from RNAcentral.